AAAUAAAUAAAUAAAUAAAUAAAGAGAAUAAGAAAUGGAAUUAGAGGACAACAUCAAUAUCAUGUUCAAGAGCAGUCAUCUUCAUCUGAUGCAUAAAAAAGAUUUGAAAGGAGUUAGCACCGCUCUAGUAUUUCUGUUCAUUUUCUUAUUCAUGUCUGAUACAUCUUGAAAUUAAUGUUGACUGAACUUUCUAGCUGAGUGCAGGGCCUUUCUUUAGUCUUCUAACAGGUAUAGAGCCUGCAACAGUUUUGGGACUGUUCUGGACCAGAAUCUAUUCCUUCAUGAAAAGAGACAGUUAACCGGAAUAGACAAUUAAGUUAAUGGAUAAAAAAAUUAUGACACAUAUUUUGCAAUAUACCUUGACUAAAAUGCACUCAACUCUUGCUUGACUUUUAAAAAAUCUGGCUUCCCUCUUCUCUGGGAGAAUAUGCAUGUCUGAAACUUCAAUUUUCUUCAGCUACAUAAAACAAAUUAGAAGGUCCAACCAAGUUUGUCAACUAAACUUCACAACCCCUCCGCCAAAAAAAAAAAGAAAUAAAUUUAACUUACAAGUAGAAAGUGCGAAAUUGGUGCAAUUCGGAGGGUUGUUGAAGAAGCUUUCCUUAACUAGUUCUACUUGACAGUUGACGCUUUACUUCUUUAUGGAUGCAUUUCUUCUAUGUUUAUCAUGUAUACCUUCAUCCUAACCAUUGAGCCCUAAUUGUCUUGAAUUUGCUUGAUAUUACGCAUGUUACAAUAGGAAAAUUGUUUCUAAUGGCUUGGAGCCAUUUACCAGUUCCACCCACUAUGUUUCUUUGCAGUCUGAUAGUGGUGGAGUAGAAAUUCCUGAGCUUGAGUUAGAGCUUGCUAG
RNAcentral lists this long non-coding RNA (850 nucleotides) under Nicotiana benthamiana. RNAcentral's name for it is "long non-coding RNA (NBEN_LNC030238)". The record is from RNAcentral. Lineage: Eukaryota; Viridiplantae; Streptophyta; Magnoliopsida; Solanales; Solanaceae.